Molecule: ribosomal RNA, 430 nt
Filed under: bacterium
Lineage: Bacteria
Description: partial 16S ribosomal RNA
Rfam family: Bacterial small subunit ribosomal RNA
Source: RNAcentral
UGGGGAAUAUUGGACAAUGGGCGGAAGCCUGAUCCAGCCAUGCCGCGUGUGUGAAGAAGGCCUUUUGGUUGUAAAGCACUUUAAGCGAGGAGGAGGCUACUUGGAUUAAUACUCUAGGAUAGUGGACGUUACUCGCAGAAUAAGCACCGGCUAACUCUGUGCCAGCAGCCGCGGUAAUACAGAGGGUGCGAGCGUUAAUCGGAUUUACUGGGCGUAAAGCGUGCGUAGGCGGCUUCUUAAGUCGGAUGUGAAAUCCCUGAGCUUAACUUAGGAACUGCAUUCGAUACUGGGAAGCUAGAGUAUGGGAGAGGAUGGUAGAAUUCCAGGUGUAGCGGUGAAAUGCGUAGAGAUCUGGAGGAAUACCGAUGGCGAAGGCAGCCAUCUGGCCUAAUACUGACGCUGAGGUACGAAAGCAUGGGGAGCAAACAGG